AGGUAUGACAGACCUGGGGAUUCCAUGUCUGCAAUUUCAGCUGGAUCUGCUGCCUCAGCUACUGAGGAGAGGCAACGAUGGGGAGAUUGAUUACAGGGACAUGAGCAACCAACUAACUACAGAGAGUAAUAGGCUGCUGUUCUAUUCUGUUCCCUGCUGUUCUAAUGCUGUUCCCUGCUGUUUGGAGAUCACUAGAGAGAAGCUACAGCCCAGUCCUAACUGUCAGCUGGGAUUGUGGAGCCCACCACCUCCUGAGACAAACAGGUUCAUUCUUCUGAGUAUCAGACUUAUACCAUUUGUCUACGGAGGAGCCCAUCCAGGGAGCUUUGAGGUGGUUUCUUCCCAGGAGCACCAGGGUGUCCAGCCUGUUCAGGGUGAUCGAGGAGCAGGAUGGGAUCAAGACCACCAGCCUGCAGGUGUUCAGAACCAGAGUUCCCUCCCAGGAGUCCUUCCUACCA
Long non-coding RNA from Oncorhynchus tshawytscha (Chinook salmon), 458 nucleotides. Lineage: Eukaryota; Metazoa; Chordata; Actinopteri; Salmoniformes; Salmonidae. The record is from Ensembl.